RNAcentral lists this ribosomal RNA (253 nucleotides) under uncultured bacterium. RNAcentral describes it as "partial 16S ribosomal RNA". It matches the Rfam family "Bacterial small subunit ribosomal RNA", at positions 524 to 776 of the family's 1533-position model. The record is from RNAcentral.
UACGAAGGGUGCGAGCGUUGUUCGGAAUUAUUGGGCGUAAAGGGUUCGCAGGCGGGAGAUGUAGUCAAUUGUGAAAUCCCUGAGCUUAACUUGGGACGUGCAGUUGAGACACAUUUUCUUGAGUAUUGGAGAGGGUGGUGGAAUUGUUGGUGUAGGAGUGACAUCCGUAGAGAUCAGCAGGAACAUCGGAGGCGAAGGCGACCACCUGGCCGAUAACUGACGCUUAGGAACGAAAGCAUGGGGAGCAAACAGG